GGCGGGGGUGGGGGUGCUUCGGUGACAACGGUCAAUCAUGAAGGCGGCAGCGGCGCGGCGACAGAGUCAGCUGUGCCGGGCGGGGGCGGCGCCGGGCCUGCGCCUGUAGGACCUCGGGGCCCGCGCGGCGGGAUGGGGCCCCGGCGCGGGGAGUGAGGCGGCACCAGCGAGAGCGGAACUUGAGCGCAAGGGGCUGCGCCUGCUGCCCCCUCUGGCUUCUCGGCCUUCACCCGCAGCCCCUCGGCGCCCGCGCCCCGCGGGGCCGCGACGGCGACGGCCGGGCAUGUGGCGCUGGGUCCGCCAGCAGCUGGGUCUUGACCCACCCCAUCAAAGUGACACAAGAACUAUUUACAUAGCCAACAGGUUUCCUCAGAAUGGCCUUUACACACCUCAGAAAUUUAUAGAUAACCGAAUAAUUUCAUCUAAGUAUACUGUGUGGAAUUUUGUCCCAAAAAAUUUAUUUGAACAAUUCAGAAGAGUGGCAAACUUUUAUUUUCUUAUUAUAUUUUUGGUUCAGCUUAUGAUUGAUACACCUACCAGUCCAAUUACCAGUGGACUUCCAUUAUUCUUUGUGAUAACAGUAACCGCCAUAAAGCAGGGAUAUGAAGAUUGGUUACGCCAUAACUCAGAUAAUGAAGUAAAUGGAGCUCCUGUUUAUGUUGUUCGAAGUGGUGGCCUUGUAAAAACUAGGUCAAAAAACAUUCGGGUAGGUGAUAUUGUUCGAAUAGCCAAAGAUGAAAUCUUCCCUGCAGACUUGGUGCUUCUCUCCUCGGAUCGACCUGAUGGUUCAUGUCACAUUACAACUGCUAGUUUGGAUGGAGAAACAAACCUAAAGACACAUGUGGCAGUUCCAGAAACAGCAGUAUUACAGACAGUUGCCAAUUUGGACAGUCUUAUAGCUGUAAUAGAAUGCCAGCAACCGGAAGCAGAUUUGUACAGAUUCAUGGGACGAAUGAUAAUAACUCAGCAAAUGGAAGAAAUUGUAAGGCCUCUGGGCCCAGAGAGUCUCUUACUUCGUGGAGCCAGAUUAAAAAACACAAAAGAAAUUUUUGGUGUUGCUGUGUACACCGGAAUGGAAACUAAAAUGGCAUUAAAUUAUAAGAGCAAGUCACAGAAAAGAUCUGCUGUGGAAAAGCUCACCUGCAGGGCACAUCUUGCGUUUGUGGCAGCAUCCAGGACUGUUCUGUUCAGUUGGACAAAUCAUGUGCACCAGCAUCACGUGAGCAGAUCAAUGAAUACAUUUUUGAUAAUUUACCUAAUAAUCCUUAUUUCUGAAGCCAUCAUCAGUACUAUCCUGAAAUAUACCUGGCAAGCUGAAGAAAAAUGGAAUGAACCUUGGUAUAACCAAAAAACAGAACAUCAGAGAAAUAGUAGUAAGAUUCUGAGAUUUAUUUCUGAUUUCCUUGCUUUUCUGGUACUCUACAAUUUCAUCAUUCCAAUUUCACUGUAUGUAACAGUUGAAAUGCAGAAAUUUCUUGGAUCAUUUUUUAUUGGCUGGGAUCUUGAUCUCUAUCAUGAGGAAUCAGAUCAGAAAGCUCAAGUCAAUACUUCCGAUCUGAAUGAAGAACUUGGACAGGUGAACUACGUGUUUACAGAUAAAACUGGAACACUAACAGAAAAUGAGAUGCAGUUCCGGGAAUGUUCAAUUAAUGGCAUAAAAUACCAAGAAAUCAAUGGUAGACUUGUACCCGAAGGACCAACACCUGACUCUUCAGAAGGAAACUUAUCAUAUCUUAGUGGUUUAUCUCACCUUAGCAACUUAGCCCAUCUUACAAGCAGUUCCUCUUUUAGAACCAGUCCUGAAAAUGAAAAUGAACUAAUUAAAGAACAUGGUCUCUUCUUCAAAGCAGUUAGUCUCUGCCAUACUGUGCAGAUCAGCAAUGUUCAAAGUGAUGGCAUUGGUGAUGGUCCCUGGCAGUCCAGCCUGGCAUCCUCUCAACUAGAGUACUAUGCAUCUUCCCCAGAUGAAAAGGCGCUAGUGGAAGCUGCUGCAAGAAUUGGCAUUGUAUUUAUUGGCAAUUCUGAAGAAAUUAUGGAAAUUAAAAUACUUGGAAAACUGGAACGGUACAGACUGCUUCAUGUUCUGGAAUUUGAUUCAGAUCGUAGGAGAAUGAGUGUAAUUGUUCAAGCAUGUUCAGGUGAGAAGCUUUUAUUUGCUAAAGGAGCAGAAUCAUCAAUACUUCCUAACUGUAUAGGUGGAGACAUAGAGAAAACGAGAAUUCAUGUAGAUGAAUUUGCUUUGAAAGGGCUAAGAACUCUGUGUAUAGCCUAUAGACAGUUUACACCUAAUGAGUAUGAAGAGAUAGACAGACGCCUGUUUGAAGCCAGGACUGCCUUGCAGCAACGGGAAGAGAAAUUGGCUGAAGUCUUUCAGUUCAUAGAGAAAGACCUGAUUUUACUUGGGGCUACAGCCGUAGAAGACAGACUGCAAGAUAAAGUUCAAGAAACUAUUGAAGCAUUGAGAAUGGCUGGUAUCAAAGUGUGGGUACUUACAGGAGACAAACAUGAAACUGCUGUUAGUGUGAGUUUAUCUUGUGGACAUUUUCAUAGAACUAUGAACAUCCUUGAACUUAUUAACCAGAAAUCAGACAACGAAUGUGCUGAACAGUUGAGGCAGCUUGCCAGAAGAAUUACAGAGGAUCAUGUGAUUCAGCAUGGGCUAGUAGUUGAUGGGACCAGCCUAUCUCUUGCACUCAGGGAGCAUGAAAAGCUAUUUAUGGAAGUUUGCAGAAAUUGUUCGGCUGUAUUAUGCUGUCGUAUGGCACCACUGCAGAAAGCAAAAGUAAUAAGACUGAUAAAAAUCUCACCUGAGAAACCUAUAACAUUGGCUGUUGGUGAUGGUGCUAAUGAUGUAAGCAUGAUACAAGAAGCACAUGUUGGCAUAGGAAUCAUGGGUAAAGAAGGAAGACAGGCUGCAAGAAACAGUGACUAUGCAAUAGCUAGAUUUAAAUUCCUCUCCAAACUACUUUUUGUUCAUGGUCAUUUUUAUUAUAUCAGAAUAGCUACCCUUGUACAGUAUUUUUUUUAUAAGAAUGUGUGCUUUAUCACACCCCAGUUUUUAUAUCAGUUCUACUGUUUGUUUUCUCAGCAAACACUGUAUGACAGCAUGUACCUGACUUUGUACAAUAUUUGUUUUACUUCCCUACCUGUUCUGAUAUAUAGUCUUUUGGAACAGCAUAUAGACCCUCAUGUAUUACAGAACAAGCCUACUCUCUACAGGGAUAUUAGUAAAAACCAUCUCUUAAGCAUUAAAACGUUUCUUUAUUGGACUAUCCUGGGUUUCAGUCAUGCCUUUAUUUUCUUUUUUGGAUCCUAUUUUCUGAUGGGGAAAGAUACAUCUCUUCUUGGAAAUGGCCAGAUGUUUGGAAACUGGACAUUUGGCACUUUGGUCUUCACAGUCAUGGUUAUUACAGUCACAGCAAAGAUGGCUUUGGAAACUCAUUUUUGGACUUGGAUCAACCAUCUUGUUACAUGGGGAUCUAUUAUAUUUUAUUUUAUAUUUUCUUUAUUUUAUAGUGGGAUUCUCUGGCCAUUCUUGAGCUCCCAGAAUAUGUACUUUGUAUUUAUUCAGCUCCUAUCAAGUGGUUCUACUUGGUUUGCCAUAACUCUUAUGGUUGUUACAUGUCUAUUUCUUGACAUUGUGAAGAAGGUAUUUGGCCGACACCUCCAUCCUACAAGUACUGAAAAGGCACAGCUUACUCAAACAAAUUCAAGUAUCAAGUGCUUGGACUCCAUGUGCUGUUUCCCAGAAGGAGAAGCAGCAUGUGCAUCUGUUAGAAGAAUGCUGGAACGAGCUAUAGGGAGAUGUAGCCCCACCCACAUCAGCAGGUGUGACAUUUCUCUAAGUAGCCUUUGCUGCAGAUGAGCGUCCUGUAACCUGGAACAGGACGAACCUGCAGCUUUAGGUGCCCAGUAAAUCAGCAGCUGGUUUUACCAACUGAAGGAGGAAGUCUGCUAUUUGUUAGCACUCUGAUGGUAGACUUACUUCACUUCAUGGCUUUGGGUGGGGUACUUUCACUUACAAAGGAAGAAAAAGCACCUUUGAAGAGACUGCAUCCAGUGAACAAAACAAUCCUGUUUUAUAAUCACUCUCAAAUGUGGUGGAUAGGAGUGUGUAUGUGGUACUUUUUCUUGGUUUGUAUAACUUUCUUUUUUAAAUUAUACUGCUGUUUCAUUUUCUGCUGAUUUUUCCUCUGCUUUUUGUCUUUACAAAGUAAUCUCCAUACACAGUAAAAUCAGAAGUCUUUGCUUUUCUUAUUCUUCAUGUAUAUUUUCCAGUCAUUCAGGGUUAAACACAGAAGGCUGUAUUUCUGUUUCCUGACCCUUUUUAAUAUCUGUAAUGAAGUUUUGAAAUGAAUUGUGAUUUUUUACUUUUACUUGGCAUUUAUUAAGUAAAUUAUGGAUCAGAACAAUCUUAGCAGUUUUGUCCCCUCCCAAAUCUAUUUCUUGAAUCAGAUUUAUUAUAGUUUCCUUUUAUGAAUCAUAACCAGAAAAAGACAGUUAUUGGUAAAUACCAUUUAAAAAUCAUUUAAAGGUGAAAUGGAUUCAUUUCUUCAUAUUUCUCCAUAUGUUUGCCCAAGGUGUAUAUCAUUAUUGAGGGAAACUACGGAAUAAGAACUCACUUUCUCUCCGUUUGGUGUUGGUUGGGUGAAUGAUAUCAUAUUCACAAGAUGAAAGCAGCGUCUCCCUGGCGUCCAUGAGGGUCACAAUGGCCUCAGACAGACGUCGAUUCCGUCCUCCCCAAGGUGCCACAUGGGCAGCACCACUCUCUCUGGGCCGCUGCUUAGAAAAGCUUCCUUCCUCGAGGCAAGGAGCAAGGAGGGAGAGAGCACUACUUUUACCUAUUGGCAAAAGAAUUGUUUCAGUGAUCAUGGAGUGCCUCGGAUCCUUUCUGUACCAACGACAGGAGCGUCCUGACUCUCUCCACAAUGGACUCAUCUACUUGCUAAAGGGGCAGUAGUACUUGUAGAGCGAUUUCACCUCCUUCCCUCAAAUUCAGGGCUGAUUGUCCUAUAAAUGGCCACUCUAGCCCUGAAAUCACUCUGAAAUCUCUGGAGUAGUUCAGACCCACUCCAAACAAACAGAAAACAUUAACAUGAACCCCUCUCUUCUCCCCUUAAUUUGAAUAUGAACAUGUCAAAGUUUGUGAAUAAAGAGAGUUUCACUCUUUUUGUCUGGGUUAUCCCUGGGCACAUGGGACUCCUAAUGGCAUUUCAGCAUGUUGCUGAAGUCGUUGAGAUCACUCCUACUUAAGUGUAUUUUUUAGGAUUAGAUUAGUUAUUGACUUCUAUUUAAAUCUGCUUCUGUAAAUUAUGCUGAAAGUUUGCCUUGAGAACUCUAUUUUUUUAUUAGAGUUAUACUUAAAGCUUUUCAUGGGAAAAGUGAAUGUGAAUAUUAAGAAAUUUUGGUACCUCAGUGAUUUGUAUCGUUAAUUCAUUAGUAAGUUUUAAGUUCACAGAGCAAACUAGGAGAACAAAUUUCCCCUUAUUGACUGCAGUGUGGGUAGUAAAUUGAUGCCAGUACCAAGUUUCUCUAAACACGCUGUGCCAGUAAAGUGUAAAUGCAAAGGGUCUGUUAUAGAAUCAGAAAUCAGGUCUGUUCACCAAAUUUCAAAGUGAUGUUUACUAAAUUUUUUGCCCAAAUAUAAAGAAGCUAUAGUGGGUAGAUUAGAGAUCAUUACAGGCCAGGGAUGUAGCUCAGUGGUUCCAUCACCUGCCUCCCAAGCACAAGGUCCUGAGUUCGAUCCCUGGUACCAAGAAAAAAAAAGAGAUCAUUAUAUUAUUAAUUUAAUGUUUUCAUCAUUGGCUCUUUUGCAUGCUUUAACCUGGCUAAUAUAAAUUUGGUUUUUUCCUCUCUAUCCAAAAGCUUUGUUUAUAAUAGUAUUUUAUGACAAUGUUGUAAAGUUCAGCUAUAUCAAUAAAAAACAAGUUUGGACAGUAUUUGUAUAUUGCAAAUAGUUUUAAUUAUACAAAUCAAAAUAUGGCUCAUUAGAUCAAUAGUAAGAGGAGAGCCCCUCUUUGUGACCAACUUAGAAUUACUCCUGCCUUUCUGUAAGCUAAAGUUUAGGAUAAAGGAUUUCUGUUAAGAAUUUUGCUGUUUUUCAGUUAGCAUGUUACCUAAGUUAUCGCACACUACAGUAAGGUUAAUUCUGCCCAGUGUCCCAUUACAAGGUAUGCUGUCAGGUGUGGCUAUGAAAUGUAAAUGAAAAAGUCUAAAAUACUAAAUUUUUAGCAGCAAUAAAUUAAAAUGCUAAGAAUGACUAAUCACGUACAUGCUGGUCUAGUUUACUCCUUGCAUCUCAAAACUUAGUUUCCAUCUCAAAUUUGUGUUGUCAUUUAUUUUGUUAAAAGUAAUUUUUUUAAGACCUGGACAUGAUCAUUAGUUUGAGAAUGACUAUCUACAGUAUAUAAUGACCAUAUACAAAAUAAAAAUUAUAAGAAAACAGUUAAGGGCCAGGGAUUUAGCUCAGUGGUGCCACUGCCUGCCUCGCAAGCACAAAGUCCUGAGUUCGAUCCCCAGUACCAAAAAGAAAACAGUUAAAUGAAGUUUUGCCAAAUUGUCCCUUAGGGAUGUAAUUCCGUUUUGGAGAUUCAUUGUACAACUCUUCAUUUCUUUCCCACUUUUGAGACUUGGGCUGGUAGACAAAGAAUGACAGCAGGAAUUAUGACUUCAUCUGUGUUUGCUGGUGUGCUGUUUGCUUGCUAUCUGCCAUUUGUCCUUAAAUAAGGCAAGGAUGGGACCAGGGAUUUAGCUCAAUGGUCCCGGCGCCUGCCUCAAAAGCACAAGGUCCUGAGUUCAAUCCCCAGUACAAAAAUAAUAAUAAUAAUAAUAAUGCAAGGAUGUCCCAUUAUCCAUUUCAGGCUAAAUAUUAAUUUUCAUAAACAGCCUUUCUUGGAUAUUCCAGUUAGGUUUAGAAAGAUCAGUUAUUUUGGAAAUACAUGAAAGGGGGA
Heterocephalus glaber (naked mole-rat) is the source of this 6950-nucleotide non-coding RNA. Lineage: Eukaryota; Metazoa; Chordata; Mammalia; Rodentia; Bathyergidae. The record is from RefSeq and is a predicted model, not a curated record.